RNAcentral lists this long non-coding RNA (2376 nucleotides) under Malus domestica (apple). Its description in RNAcentral is "long non-coding RNA (MDOM_LNC008904)". The record is from RNAcentral. Lineage: Eukaryota; Viridiplantae; Streptophyta; Magnoliopsida; Rosales; Rosaceae.
AGUAUGAUGGGAAUGGGAAAAAAGACAUUUCCCUAAAAAGCUUUGGCUACAAAUUCGGUGCUUUGUUGUUGCUAAGUUAGAUUCAUGUCAUCAUUUGAACCCAAAGGAAGAUAAGGCCUAUGACUGCAUAGGACACAGCAAAUGCAAAUAAAAGUCAUGGAAAGUUUAAGUUUGAUGCAUCAGAGGGAGAAGAGCAACCCGAGAUGUAGUGGAUUCAAGAGGGAUACCCUAAUCAUUAUAGCAAUUACCACAUGUAGUUUAUAAAAUAUUUUUUAUGAGCAGUUGGAGAACAAUUAGUUGAAAGGAUUGUUGCGACUCUCGGGGUGCGUACAACCAAGAUACUUGAGUUUUUCCACUAGCAAUUCACAACCCACUUUUGAAUACCUUUUUCGCUGUGAGAACGGUGCUACCAAUAAACUCAUAUUAUAACCGAAAAUUUUAUGAAAUAUCAACUAUGUCGUCUUCGCAUAUUGUAUAAUCGGGAUGUUUAUGCUUUUGUUGGUCAUGGGCUAGGGUUAGAAAUAUCAACUAUGUUUUUGUUGGUCACAGCGUAUCGGGAAAGGCUUAUCCUGUUAUCCAAUUGGGUCAAAACUCUACAUCAAAGAAGUGGACGUGAGAACGUGAUUUUUCCCUUGGUACUCUCCCUUUCUUUCCCACUGUUAACUUGUUCUUUGUGGCCAAAUGGGGCCCUUCCACUCUUCCUUGCCCAAAAUGGGCUUUUUGGGUGCUUUACUUUGGCCACAUGGGGACCAUCCUCAAUGAACCCCUCUAUUGGAGUAGGGUAAUACAACCAAUUCUAUAUUAUGCUACUUCAGAUUAAUUACUUUAGUUACAAGUCUCUUAUUCACUUAAAAUAUAACCCUUUAGUUAGGACCUUUCAUUGCUAGAAUAAAUACUUUUAACCAUUUGAGUUACAAGCUUGCUAGAAAUACUUGAUCCGUUAGAAUCGUUUAACAUGGAUGUUAAUUGCAUGCACAUGCUUUCAUGUUCCAAUGAUAUAAAUGUUUUGCACCAUUUGGGUUUGUUUUGGCUAAUUACUUGAGCUACAAGCCUUUUGCUUGCCCAAAACAUGAAAUAUUUGAAGUCCUUUGAUUAGGAUCUUCAGUGGCUGGGAUGAAUGCUUUUAACCAUUUUAGCUGCGAGUUACUUUCUAAGAACAUAAAUUUUUUGGAAUCCCUUCAUAAGGAAUUAGUUAUUUGCAUGCACAUGACUCAUGUUCCAAAUUAAUAUAAACUUUUGCAGCAUUUGGGUUGGCUUUGCAUAAAACAUGAUUAAGUAUGCUAGUCUUUGGCACAUGUUUGCAGUGGCUUUCAAUUCACUCCACUAGCUACCAUCUUUCAAGUCAUGAUCUACACUUAAUUACUUCUAAACUCAAAAGGUCUAAUUAUUAUAUGGUUAUUAGGGAAAGGAUUAUCAAGGAAUAUUAUGAAGAUGGGUUGGACAAGAAGGAAAAUUCUAAUGGGAAGUUCUAUAUAUAGUAAAUUAUUAAUUAAACAUUGUUGGUAAAGAACGACGGCGGUCACUAAUACAACUAAUUAAUCAUUGUAACACCAAUUUGCUUAUUGCUUUGUUUCUUUCACCUUUAAUUUCAUACAUUCUUUUUCUUUUGAAGGAAAAAGAAGCAAAAUAUAUAUUCAAUGAGAGCAUAUACAUGACACUAUUUUUUAUAUACGUUUUUGUGGGUUUACUCUGUAAUGUAUCUUAACGAUUCAAAUCUUCUAUUUUUUAGAACAUGAUUCAUAGGUUAUCUUUGCAAAAAUUUAGACAAAUCCAAAACUAUUAAGACAUUCAUUUAUAGUGAAGAAAAUUAACGAAUGUGGUUCUACAAAAAAAAAUAAAAAUCUAAACACUUAAUUCAACUGCCACAUCGUUUCAAAUUUGGGUGAUUUUGUUAAACAUAAUCUUUAAGGGAAGACCUAAAAAAUAGAUUAUUCAGAUCUUUGAAAUACAUUAUGGAGUAGAACUCAUAAAAGUAAAAAAUUGUAUAAAAAAAAUAAUACCACAUAUUCGUCCAUGUUUAAUUAGUGUUAGCAAAAGAUGAAGCGGCACAACUUGACGGAAAAAAGUGGCAAAUAAUAUCCAUAAAUGAUCAGGUGUGAUAAAAGUAGGAACCAUUAAAAAAAAACACUAUUCUAGCUAGCUAGCCUUGUUGAUGGGUCACAUUCAAGUAAAUUACCUCUAGAUCCCACAUGAAAAAUCAAUAAUUUGAAAAGGAGAAAAAGAGAAAAAAUAAUCAUUAAUUCCAUGAGGUUGAUUGACAUGAGUCUUAAAUUGUUCUUGGUGGGCUCCUUGAAAAUUAAUGUGAUGCAUAAUUUUUUUUCGGAUUUGGAUCCUCUCCUGAGCUAAUGGAGAGAUCCUCCUGACCAGUUAUUAUGA